UAUGGUCAUUGUGGGAAAGCCGCCGCGGUAAAACGUAGGUCACAAGCGUUGUCCGGAAUUACUGGGUGUAAAGGGAGCGCAGGCGGGAAGACAAGUUGGAAGUGAAAUCUAUGGGCUCAACCCAUAAACUGCUUUCAAAACUGUUUUUCUUGAGUAGUGCAGAGGUAGGCGGAAUUCCCGGUGUAGCGGUGGAAUGCGUAGAUAUCGGGAGGAACACCAGUGGCGAAGGCGGCCUACUGGGCACCAACUGACGCUGAGGCUCGAAAGUGUGGGUAGCAAACAGG
RNAcentral lists this ribosomal RNA (284 nucleotides) under Faecalibacterium prausnitzii. RNAcentral's name for it is "partial 16S ribosomal RNA". It matches the Rfam family "Bacterial small subunit ribosomal RNA", at positions 492 to 776 of the family's 1533-position model. Lineage: Bacteria; Bacillati; Bacillota; Clostridia; Eubacteriales; Oscillospiraceae. The record is from RNAcentral.